Molecule: non-coding RNA, 662 nt
Organism: Meleagris gallopavo (turkey)
Lineage: Eukaryota; Metazoa; Chordata; Aves; Galliformes; Phasianidae
Source: RefSeq, a predicted model, not a curated record
GCGUCCCGGGGUGGAGUGGGCCUUAAAGGCCAUGGCUGGGCUGGAAGGGCCUCCCUGAGCCCGCUCCUCCAAUGGGCAGCUGCCCCCCACCAGCACCGACGCCACCCGUGGCUCCCAUCUCAUCUGAACGCUGUGAGGCAGAAGUCCCAAACUCUGCAUCUUUGUGCCCAAAAGUGGAUACAGUGAAGGGUGGGCUUCCUCCCCACCUGUCUGUUGGGUUCUGACUGAACACCUCCUGGGUUCCACCUCUCGUCCUUCCCCGGCACAUUUCAGGCACUGCCUGAGAAAUCAUCCGCCUCCCAGUGACUCAGUGACAUCUCCACCCACCAGCUCAGAGCUGCACCCCUGGGAGGAGAACAGCGGAAAAUGUGAAUUCUGACUGGAAUUUCAGGCGUCACCCCGAGGGAAAAGGCAGCGACACGCAGAGCUCUGCUUGCUGCAGUCACCAGAGGGCACACGUCUGCUGCUGUGACACGGAAAUGUUCCCAAAUUGUGCUGUUCUGAGGUGGGUUCCUCAGUGAGACCCCCAAAAUGGGGUACGUGAGGGCAGGGGUCUGUGGGGAUCUGCUCAGAGCGAUGCCAAGCUGAAGGGGAACCCCAAAGCAAAGGGGGAAAAGAGCAAAACCGAAGGGGAAACUGAACCCCCCCUAUAAAAAAGGGAA